This 491-nucleotide ribosomal RNA is filed under the name uncultured bacterium. Its description in RNAcentral is "partial 16S ribosomal RNA". It matches the Rfam family "Bacterial small subunit ribosomal RNA", at positions 29 to 506 of the family's 1533-position model. The record is from RNAcentral.
AGUGAACGCUGGCGGUAGGCCUAACACAUGCAAGUCGAACGGCAGCACAGUAAGAGCUUGCUCUUACGGGUGGCGAGUGGCGGACGGGUGAGGAAUACAUCGGAAUCUACUUUUUCGUGGGGGAUAACGUAGGGAAACUUACGCUAAUACCGCAUACGACCUACGGGUGAAAGCAGGGGAUCUUCGGACCUUGCGCGAUUGAAUGAGCCGAUGUCGGAUUAGCUAGUUGGCGGGGUAAAGGCCCACCAAGGCGACGAUCCGUAGCUGGUCUGAGAGGAUGAUCAGCAACACUGGAACUGAGAAACGGGCCAGACUCCUACGGGGGGCAGGAGGGGGGAAAAUUGGAAAAUGGGGGAAAGCCUGAACCAGCCAUACCGGGGGGGUGAAGAAGGCCUUCGGGUUGUAAAGCCCUUUUGUGGGGAAAGAAAAGCAGCAGGUUAAAACCCCGCUGUUCUGACGGUACCAAAAGAAUAAACACCGGCUAACUUCGU